AAAACCGAAAGGUGAGGUAUAUGGGCUGACGCCUGCCCGGUGCUGGAAGGUUAAGGGGAGAGGUUAGCCGUAAGGCGAAGCUUUGAACUUAAGCCCCAGUAAACGGCGGCCGUAACUAUAACGGUCCUAAGGUAGCGAAAUUCCUUGUCGGGUAAGUUCCGACCCGCACGAAAGGCGUAAUGAUUUGGGCACUGUCUCAACAAUGCACCCGGUGAAAUUGAAAUACCAGUGAAGAUGCUGGUUACCUGCGCCAGGACGGAAAGACCCCAUGGAGCUUUACUCCAGCUUGAUACUGGGAUUCGAUAUUGCAUGUACAGGAUAGGUGGGAGACUGAGAACUGAUGACGCCAGUUGUCAGGGAGUCACUGUUGGGAUACCACCCUUGUAGUAUUGGAUUUCUAACCAGCAGCCGUGAACCGGCUGGGGGACAAUGUCAGGUGGGGAGUUUGACUGGGGCGGUCGCCUCCGAAAGGGUAUCGGAGGCGCUCAAAGGUUCCCUCAGAAUGGUCGGAAACCAUUCGAAGAGUGCAAAGGCAGAAGGGAGCUUGACUGCGACACCGACGGGUGGAGCAGGUACGAAAGUAGGACUUAGUGAUCCGGUGGUAUAAAGUGGGAUUGCCAUCGCUCAACGGAUAAAAGCUACCCUGGGGAUAACAGGCUUAUCACUCCCAAGAGUUCACAUCGACGGAGUGGUUUGGCACCUCGAUGUCGGCUCAUCGCAUCCUGGAGCUGUAGCAGGUUCCAAGGGUUGGGCUGUUCGCCCAUUAAAGCGGUACGCGAGCUGGGUUCAGAACGUCGUGAGACAGUUCGGUCCCUAUCCGGCGCAGGCGGAGGAAAUUUGAUAGGAGCUGUCCUUAGUACGAGAGGACCGGGAUGGACGGACCACUGGUGGAUCUGUUGUAUUACCAAAUGCAUAGCAGAGUAGCCAAGUCUGGAAGGGAUAAACGCUGAAGGCAUCUAAGCGUGAAGCCCCCCUAAAGAUAAGAUUUCCCAUAGAGUAAUCUAGUAAGACCCCUUGAAGACGACGAGGUAGAUAGGGCAGAGGUGGAAGUGCGGCAACGUAUGGAGCUGACUGUUACUAAUCGGUCGAGGCUUUAACCAA
This 1101-nucleotide ribosomal RNA is filed under the name human gut metagenome. Its description in RNAcentral is "bacterial LSU rRNA". It matches the Rfam family "Bacterial large subunit ribosomal RNA", at positions 1827 to 2925 of the family's 2925-position model. The record is from RNAcentral.